GACGAACGCUGGGCGGCGUGCUUAAUACAUGCAAGUCGAGCGAGGCCUUGGAAUUGGAGUCCUUCGGGAUGAAGAGUCCUUGGCCUAGCGGCGGACGGGUGAGUAACGCGUGGGCAACCUACCCCAAAGUCCGGGAUAACAGUGGGAAACCGCUGCUAAUACCGGAUGGCUUUACCUGAGGGCAUCCUCGGGUAAAGAAAGGUUACGCUUUGGGAUGGGCCCGCGUCCCAUUAGCUAGUUGGUGAGGUAACGGCUCACCAAGGCGACGAUGGGUAGCCGGCCUGAGAGGGUGAACGGCCACACUGGGACUGAGACACGGCCCAGACUCCUACGGGAGGCAGCAGUAGGGAAUAUUGCGCAAUGGGCGGAAGCCUGACGCAGCGACGCCGCGUGAGCGAAGAAGGCCUUCGGGUCGUAAAGCUCUGUCCUUGGGGAAGAAGGCGAAAGCUUGACGGUACCCAAGAAGAAAGCCCCGGCUAACUACGUG
Molecule: ribosomal RNA, 487 nt
Filed under: uncultured bacterium
Lineage: Bacteria
Description: bacterial SSU rRNA
Rfam family: Bacterial small subunit ribosomal RNA
Source: RNAcentral